AACCCAUGGUGAGGGCACCUUCUCAAUAGGUCCUUUGUAUCUUUCCCAUGAAUUAUAAAGAGUUUCUAGAUCCAUCUACACAAAAGAAGAAAUAUCAUUCCUUAAUUU
Gossypium arboreum is the source of this 108-nucleotide non-coding RNA. Lineage: Eukaryota; Viridiplantae; Streptophyta; Magnoliopsida; Malvales; Malvaceae. The record is from Rfam.